CCACCAUGGCUGAAAUAAAUGUCAUCAAACACCCAAAUUCUGAUGAAAAAACUUACAAACAGGGCUGCAUCUUUUGCGUAAUUGCUCAAAAGGAUGAUCCAGAGACAACCAUAUUAUACGAGGAUGAAGACGUUGUGGUCUUCCAGGACAUUAAGCCAGCUGCACCGCAUCACUAUUUGGCCAUCCCAAAAACUCACAUACGAGAUGCCAAACAAUUGAACAGAAGUCAUAUACCACUUGUUGAACAUCUUGUGCGUGCUGGAAAACAGGUGCUUGAAGAACAGGGAGGGAAUACAGAAGAUGUGAGGAUGGGUUUCAUUUGGCCGCCGUUCAACCUUGUGGGUCAUCUUCACCUGCAUAUUUUGGCACCAGAGUCCUCACUCAGACUCCUGCCCAGAAUCUUGUAUAGUUCAUGGUUGUUCUCAGAUACUUGGUUUUCAUUGGCCACCCUUUAACACCGUGUAUCAUCUCCACCUGCAUGUGAUAUGGCCGCCUGAUCGUAUCAAGUGCCACCUUCGAGAAUUCAGAGUUUAUAAGCCAGGGACAGCUUGGUUCAAAAGUAUUGACUGGAUGAUGGAUAGAUUACACGCAAUGCCAGAUGAACCAGUCUCAUGAUGUUGUCAGUUCUGAUAGACAAAAGACAAUGCCAGAUGAACCAGUCUCAUGAUGUCGUCAGUUCUGAUAGACAAAAGACAAUGCCAGAUGAAUCAGUCUCAUGAUGUCAUCAGUUCUGAUAGACAAAAGACAAUGCCAGAUGAAUCAGUCUCAUGAUGUCAUCAGUUCUGAUAGACAAAAGACAAUGCCAGAUGAAACAGUCUCAUGAUGUCAUCAGUUCUGAUAGACAAAUGACAAUGCCAGAUGAAGGAGCCUCAUGAUGUCGUCAGGCCAAGCAAUGCGCGAUAAAUUACCCCGAUGAUGUCAUCUGUUCCAAUAGACAAAAGACAAUGCCCGAUGCACCAGUUUACCAAAUGUCAUCCAUUCUGAAUUGGGUUGUUGUGCUAAUAGGGUCUUGCCAAUGA
Lineus longissimus is the source of this 1019-nucleotide RNA transcript. It is a transcript of the gene named adenosine 5'-monophosphoramidase HINT3-like, with no coding region annotated. NCBI's taxonomy places the organism in Eukaryota, Metazoa, Nemertea, Pilidiophora, Heteronemertea, Lineidae. The transcript is spliced from 6 exons. The record is from RefSeq and is a predicted model, not a curated record.